UACGAAGGGGCUAGCGUUGUUCGGAAUUACUGGGCGUAAAGCGCGCGCAGGCGGCCUUCAAGUCAGGGGUGAAAGCCCGGAGCUCAACUCCGGAAUUGCCUUUGAAACUGUCAGGCUCGAGUACGGGAGAGGUGAGUGGAAUUCCCAGUGUAGAGGUGAAAUUCGUAGAUAUUGGGAAGAACACCGGUGGCGAAGGCGGCUCACUGGCCCGUUUCUGACGCUCAGGCGCGACAGCGUGGGAUCGAAAC
RNAcentral lists this ribosomal RNA (248 nucleotides) under uncultured bacterium. RNAcentral describes it as "partial 16S ribosomal RNA". It matches the Rfam family "Bacterial small subunit ribosomal RNA", at positions 524 to 773 of the family's 1533-position model. The record is from RNAcentral.